GGAGAGAUGGCCGAGUGGUAAGGCGCUGGACUGAUACUCCAAGGCCCGGGCACCAACACUGCCCGACGUGGGUUCGAUUCCCACUCUCUCCG
Molecule: transfer RNA, 92 nt
Filed under: Spirochaetaceae bacterium
Lineage: Bacteria; Pseudomonadati; Spirochaetota; Spirochaetia; Spirochaetales; Spirochaetaceae
Description: tRNA-Ile
Rfam family: tRNA
About the family: Transfer RNA (tRNA) molecules are approximately 80 nucleotides in length. Their secondary structure includes four short double-helical elements and three loops (D, anti-codon, and T loops).
Source: RNAcentral